This 492-nucleotide ribosomal RNA is filed under the name uncultured bacterium. RNAcentral's name for it is "partial 16S ribosomal RNA". It matches the Rfam family "Bacterial small subunit ribosomal RNA", at positions 29 to 507 of the family's 1533-position model. The record is from RNAcentral.
AGUGAACGCCGGCGAUAGGCCUAACACAUGCAAGUCGAACGGCAGCACAGUAAGAGCUUGCUCUUACGGGUGGCGAGUGGCGGGCGGGUGAGGAAUACAUCGGAAUCUACUUUUUCGUGGGGGAUAACGUAGGGAAACUUACGCUAAUACCGCAUACGACCUACGGGUGAAAGCAGGGGAUCUUCGGACCUUGCGCGAUUGAAUGAGCCGAUGUCGGAUUAGCUAGUUGGCGGGGUAAAGGCCCACCAAGGCGACGAUCCGUAGCUGGUCUGAGAGGAUGAUCAGCCACACUGGAACUGAGACACGGUCCAGACUCCUACGAGAGGCAGCAGUGGGGAAUAUUGGACAAUGGGCGCAGGCCUGAUCCAGCCAUACCGCGUGGGUGAAGAAGGCCUUCGGGUUGUAAAGCCCUUUUGUUGGGAAAGAAAAGCAGCAGGUUAAUACCCCGCUGUUCUGACGGUACCCAAAGAAUAAGCACCGGCUAACUUCGUG